GAUGAACGCUGGCGGCGUGCCUAAUACAUGCAAGUCGAGCGAACAGAUAAGGAGCUUGCUCCUUUGACGUUAGCGGCGGACGGGUGAGUAACACGUGGGUAACCUACCUAUAAGACUGGGAUAACUUCGGGAAACCGGAGCUAAUACCGGAUAAUAUUUCGAACCGCAUGGUUCGAUAGUGAAAGAUGGUUUUGCUAUCACUUAUAGAUGGACCCGCGCCGUAUGAGCUAGUUGGUAAGGUAACGGCUUACCAAGGCGACGAUACGUAGCCGACCUGAGAGGGGGAUCGGCCACACUGGAACGGAGACACGGUCCAGACUCCUACGGGAGGCAGCAGUAGGGAAUCUUCCGCAAUGGGCGAAAGCCUGACGGAGCAACGCCGCGUGAGUGAUGAAGGUCUUCGGAUCGUAAAACUCUGUUAUGAGGGAAGAACAUACGUGUAAGUAACUGUGCACGUCUUGACGGUACCUAAUCAGAAAGCCACGGCUAACUACGUG
Molecule: ribosomal RNA, 497 nt
Filed under: uncultured bacterium
Lineage: Bacteria
Description: partial 16S ribosomal RNA
Rfam family: Bacterial small subunit ribosomal RNA
Source: RNAcentral